Molecule: ribosomal RNA, 372 nt
Filed under: uncultured Pseudomonas sp.
Lineage: Bacteria; Pseudomonadati; Pseudomonadota; Gammaproteobacteria; Pseudomonadales; Pseudomonadaceae
Description: bacterial SSU rRNA
Rfam family: Bacterial small subunit ribosomal RNA
Source: RNAcentral
GGUGCCUUCGGGAACUCUGACACAGGUGCUGCAUGGCUGUCGUCAGCUCCGUGUCGUGAGAUCGUUGGGUUAAGUCCCGUAACGAGCGCAACCCUUGUCCUUAGUUACCAGCACGUUAUGGUGGGCACUCUAAGGAGACUGCCGGUGACAAACCGGAGGAAGGUGGGGAUGACGUCAAGUCAUCAUGGCCCUUACGGCCUGGGCUACACACGUGCUACAAUGGUCGGUACAAAGGGUUGCCAAGCCGCGAGGUGGAGCUAAUCCCAUAAAACCGAUCGUAGUCCGGAUCGCAGUCUGCAACUCGACUGCGUGAAGUCGGAAUCGCUAGUAAUCGUGAAUCAGAAUGUCACGGUGAAUACGUUCCCGGGCCUU